AUGAUCGUCUCCUUUUUUUUUUUUUUUUUUUAACAUUACCGAUGACAUCACAACUAAUGGCUUUGCACAACCAGCUUUCCCAGCAUCCCCUACAUCUAGCUCUUGCCAUGGCCCUCUUCUUUCACGUUGCUUCUUUCUGCUAGACUGUGAGCCCACUCAGGGUGAGGAGCUUGUGGAACUGGCUUGUGUCUUUCUUGUAGGGUGUAUAUGAAUGUUGAUUGGGUAUGUGUGGAAGGGUGGAUAGGUGUGAAUGACAGCGAAUGCAAGAUUGGUAGGCAGAUGAGAGGAUAGAUGAGUGGAUUAGUGAACGAAUGGCUGGGUGAGUGGAUGGAUGGAUUCUCUGUGGAUGUGAGCUUCUUGGAUGAAAGGGUAAGGGGGUUGUUUGAAUGGCUGUUGGUUGAGUUAAGAAAGCUUACAGUAUUUUUAUCUUGUCUAGUGAUGUAUUAGCAUUUAAGGUGAUGUAUUAGUAUUUAAGAUAUCUGCUGGCUUCCCCCCGCCCAACUCCUGUUAAGAAAUGCUCUCGUGUGUAAAACUUGUUCAAAUUACUAAUGAAGGCUGAAUAUGUUCUACCCAUGUUUGUUAACAAAUUGUAUCUUAUCUUCUGUGAACUGUUUGUCCAAGUCCA
Molecule: long non-coding RNA, 625 nt
Filed under: Rattus norvegicus (Norway rat)
Lineage: Eukaryota; Metazoa; Chordata; Mammalia; Rodentia; Muridae
Description: long non-coding RNA NONRATT024633
Source: RNAcentral